AUUGAACGCUGGCGGCAGGCCUAACACAUGCAAGUCGAACGAGUGGCGGACGGGUGAGUAAUGUCUGGGAAACUGCCUGAUGGAGGGGGAUAACUACUGGAAACGGUAGCUAAUACCGCAUACCAUCGGAUGUGCCCAGAUGGGAUUAGCUAGUAGGUGGGGUAAAGGCUCACCUAGGCGACGAUCCCUAGCUGGUCUGAGAGGAUGACCGGCCAAACUGGAACUGAGAAACGGGCCAGACUCCUACGGGAGGCAUCAGUGGGGAAUAUGGCACAAUGGGGGAAACCCUGAUGCAGCCAUGCCGCGUGUAUGAAGAAGGCCUUCGGGUUGUAAAGUACUUUCAGCGGGGAGGCGUUACCCGCAGAAGAAGCACCGGCUAACUCCGUGCCAGCCGCCGCGGUAAUAC
This 406-nucleotide ribosomal RNA is filed under the name uncultured bacterium. RNAcentral describes it as "partial 16S ribosomal RNA". It matches the Rfam family "Bacterial small subunit ribosomal RNA", at positions 30 to 526 of the family's 1533-position model. The record is from RNAcentral.